AUGUUUUUAAAACCUUUCCUUCAUAACAAAAGAAACAAUACUCUCUUUCUAUUCUGUGUGUUUUUCAGUUCCUACAAAAUGGAAUUUCAGGACCUCAGGCAAAAAGGAAAUAGAACUGCCAAAAAAACACAGCGACAAAUUGGUGCUUGCCUGAAUUGCAGAAUGGGAGCAUUAUUUCAUGAAAACACUUCCAUAUGUAGGAGGAGGAGGCUUCAUAACAGGAUGCCAAUAUUCAAAGGCUCAUCAAUCCAACAAGAAAUUCAUAAUUCAAGAAACUAAAGAUUCAAAGAGAAGGGAUCUUCUUCUUUUCCCUCACUGUACAGCAAUAUCAUUACAGAGUUGACAAAAGAAUUCAUUUUUACCAAGUUCUGAAUAAAUGUGUGGAUUUCUGGUAAGUUCUCAUAAAAAAUAUAUUUUUCUCUGAACCACAUUUUCUUGUUCAUAGUAGGCGUGUGCAAUUCGGCUGAAGGGUGAUCCAUUUUUGGUAUCCAGAUCCAUUUUUUGGGAGCCUCCUGAAAAUUGGCUAAUGAAAAACUCUGUUUUCAACUAGGCAGUUGAAAGAUCUGGGAAGAUCUGGC
RNAcentral lists this long non-coding RNA (578 nucleotides) under Anolis carolinensis (green anole). RNAcentral describes it as "lncRNA (ENSACAG00000032775.2)". The record is from RNAcentral. Lineage: Eukaryota; Metazoa; Chordata; Lepidosauria; Squamata; Anolidae.